This 240-nucleotide ribosomal RNA is filed under the name uncultured bacterium. RNAcentral describes it as "partial 16S ribosomal RNA". It matches the Rfam family "Bacterial small subunit ribosomal RNA", at positions 523 to 762 of the family's 1533-position model. The record is from RNAcentral.
AUACGGAGGGUGCAAGCGUUGUUCGGAAUUAUUGGGCGUAAAGCGCGUGUAGGCGGUCUGUUAAGUCUGAUGUGAAAGCCCCGGGCUCAACCCGGGAAGUGCAUUGGAUACUGCCAGACUUGAGUACGGGAGAGGGUAGUGGAAUUUCGAGUGUAGGGGUGAAAUCCGUAGAUAUUCGAAGGAACACCGGUGGCGAAGGCGGCUACCUGGACCGAUACUGACGCUGAGACGCGAAAGCGU